CCUGAACGCUGGCGGCGUGGCUAAGACAUGCAAGUCGCACGGGGGCCCGUAGCAAUACGGGUCCAGUGGCGAACGGGUGAGUAAUGAAUCGCUAACGUGCCCCGGACACUGGGAUAGCCAACCGAAAGGUUGGGUAAUACCAGAUGACAUCACCGCACCGCCUGGUGUGGUGCUCAAAGGUCCGCCGGUCUGGGAGGCGGGCGAUUUCGUAUCAGCUAGUUGGUGGGGUAACGGCCCACCAAGGCGACGACGCGUAGCCGGACUGAGA
Molecule: ribosomal RNA, 268 nt
Filed under: uncultured bacterium
Lineage: Bacteria
Description: partial 16S ribosomal RNA
Rfam family: Bacterial small subunit ribosomal RNA
Source: RNAcentral